This 23-nucleotide non-coding RNA is filed under the name Arabidopsis thaliana (thale cress). Lineage: Eukaryota; Viridiplantae; Streptophyta; Magnoliopsida; Brassicales; Brassicaceae. The record is from RNAcentral.
AACCAACCAAGAGCCGUCACGCC